Molecule: ribosomal RNA, 412 nt
Filed under: uncultured microorganism
Description: bacterial SSU rRNA
Rfam family: Archaeal small subunit ribosomal RNA
Source: RNAcentral
GUGCAGCAGGCGCGAAACCUCCGCAAUGCUCGAAAGAGCGACGGGGGACUCCAAGUGCCUACGCUUUGCGUAGGCUUUUCCCAAGCCUAAAAAGCUUGGGGAAUAAGGGCUGGGUAAGACGGGUGCCAGCCGCCGCGGUAAUACCCGCAGCCCGAGUGGUGGCCGCUUUUAUUGGGCCUAAAGCGUCCGUAGCCGGUCUGGUAAAUGCCUGGGUAAAAUCGUCUGGCUCAACCAGACGAAUUCCGGGUAGACUGCCAGACUAGGGACCGGAGGAAGGAGAGGGUACUCCGGGGGUAGGGGUGAAAUCCUGUAAUCCUCGGAGGACCACCGGUGGCGAAGGCGCUCUCCUAGGACGGUCCGACGGUGAGGGACGAAAGCCAGGGGAGCAAACCGGAUUAGAUACCCCUGUAGU